GGUUGUUGAGUUUGAUUUUCAUUAGUUAUAUCAGGUUCCUGAUGGGGGAGAUUUUCGAGAUUGUCUUGAACUGGAGUUGUGUGAUCCGAGUCAGUAAGACCAAGAUCAACAACUUGAGGGAAAGACACAUGUUCUUCCUCAAAGACAAAAUCUCCUACAACUUUAUCUCCCCACCCCCCAAACUCAAUAUCCUCAAAGAACCUAGCAUUACCCGUCUC
This 218-nucleotide long non-coding RNA is filed under the name Nicotiana benthamiana. Its description in RNAcentral is "long non-coding RNA (NBEN_LNC029852)". Lineage: Eukaryota; Viridiplantae; Streptophyta; Magnoliopsida; Solanales; Solanaceae. The record is from RNAcentral.